UACGUAGGGGGCAAGCGUUAUCCGGAUUUACUGGGUGUAAAGGGAGUGUAGACGGUAUGGUAAGUCAGAUGUGAAAGCCCAGGGCUCAACCCUGGGACUGCAUUUGAAACUAUCAGACUAGAGUGCGGGAGAGGUAAGUGGAAUUCCUAGUGUAGCGGUGAAAUGCGUAGAUAUUAGGAGGAACACCAGUGGCGAAGGCGGCUUACUGGACCGUAACUGACGUUGAGGCUCGAAAGCGUGGGGAGCAAACAGG
Molecule: ribosomal RNA, 253 nt
Filed under: uncultured Hespellia sp.
Lineage: Bacteria; Bacillati; Bacillota; Clostridia; Lachnospirales; Lachnospiraceae
Description: partial 16S ribosomal RNA
Rfam family: Bacterial small subunit ribosomal RNA
Source: RNAcentral